RNAcentral lists this long non-coding RNA (1679 nucleotides) under Pocillopora damicornis (cauliflower coral). Its description in RNAcentral is "uncharacterized LOC113678745, transcript variant X2". The record is from RNAcentral. Lineage: Eukaryota; Metazoa; Cnidaria; Anthozoa; Scleractinia; Pocilloporidae.
AAAACUAUAUGUUUAAUGCAGAGUUGAUGGUUGGUUUGAUUGACAUCAGACUACUAUUGAUUGGCUCGUGGUUACGCUGUAUUCUUACACUUUCAACUUAAACCUAUUACUUAUCAUUUCUUUAUUUGAACUGAUCAGCUCGUAGCUGAAAUACAAUAUAACUACAAGAUAUGUGGAUGGAACACUAUACCAUCAGACUUGAUUUUAAGAGUAAAUCAAUUGAACCAUUUUUCAUUUUGUAUAUUAAGAUGCAAUCAGAACCGAAACAUCUAAACUCCCCCUCAGUUAAUUAACUGAAUGAGUAUUAGUUGCUUAUUAAGGUUGAGGGUUAGUGUUAAUUAUGAAUUUUUAUUUAAGGGGAGUCUAUGAUGUGUCCAAGUUCCAAAUUUUUGGUAUGGAAGUAUUCUUAUUUAGAGUGUCAAUUUCUCCUUAGGAAUAAAAAAUGAUACAAAAGUUAAGUCUGACUGAUUUCAAAGGCUCAGAUUAAACAAACAUACAUGUAGUGUUAUAGUGCAAACUUAAAAACCCUAUGUAUACAAGCAGACCGUAACUAACCAUACAAGUUAAUUUUUCUCUUCAGAACACUAAUCCAGUCACAUUCAGAAGAUGUAGGUAAGAGCAUUAAAUGAAAUACUUCUAUAAAUUUUUUAGCUAUUUUGUCCCAAAAUAACUUUUUAAAUUUUGAGCUUAUUAAGCUAUUUAAUAAACUCAUAUCCAAAGCUUUUAUUUCUAAAAUGGUUGUACUCAAGAAACUAUUUUUGAAAUAAUUAGCUUUGAUACUAUUAUUUCUGAAAUGGUCAAACUCAAGUGAUUAUUCUUGAAAUAAAUAGCUUUGAUGCUUUUAUUUCUCAAAUGUUCAAACUUAAGUGACUGUUUUUGAAAUAAAUAGCUUUGAUGCAAUUAUUGAUUUGAAAUCAACAAUAGCUUUCAUAGAAAAGAUAAUUUUCAUUUGAUGCCUGGCCUAGAGUCUACAAAAUGUGACAAGGGUAGUGUCCUGGAAAUAAGACCAACAGCCAAUCUCUGGGUAAAAAUAAAACAAACAAGCAAACAAACUGAUGACUCCAGGUUGGUUUCACCAGUUUGAAGCAUUUAGAUCACCACACAGUUCAGGUACAUAAUGAAGCUGCGUGUUUGUCAUCUUCCGCGGCUGCAACAUUCACAUUUGACGAGUGCAAGGAAGCCAAGAAGUUAGGAAUUCUUUUGGACUCCAAGGAUGUUCAAAAUAAUGGUGACGUCACUGUCACUCAGCAGGGAACGAAGAAACUGGAUAGGGCACGAGGUUGACCACCACUACUGCUGCUGCAACUGCAACACGAGUCUUCAGGACUGAGUUUACCAACGAUCGAGAAAUGGAAAUUUCUCUGAUAUCGCAAAUCUGUAAAUUUUCAUGACAUUUGCUCUGACUAAUUUGUUGAGGCCUCGCCCAGUUUACGUUAUUUUAACUUCUAAAGUUCCUGAGGAACCUUUCAACGUGUACGUCGAGGUAUCCCUUUGUUCUCCUUGUCAGCAGCAUAAGAAACAUGUAGAGAACAGUAUGGAGAAUAUGCAUACUGAUGUUAGGGUGUGAAGGGUUUAACUCUUAAUAUUUGACUUCAACUCUCCCUUCCACACAUUUCAAGAUAUUUUUUGCUGUCUUCUCGUUAGCCCUUCGUCAGAAUAUCGCUCUGACGAAGGGCUUA